Coturnix japonica (Japanese quail) is the source of this 8306-nucleotide non-coding RNA. NCBI's taxonomy places the organism in Eukaryota, Metazoa, Chordata, Aves, Galliformes, Phasianidae. The record is from RefSeq and is a predicted model, not a curated record.
AUCCCAGCGCUGGAGUCGGCCUCCGAGAAGAGCAGGGCUGCAGCUCCUCACUGCGUCAGGCGGAGAGCCCUGCCCGUGCAGGCGGCGCCGGGCAGCUCUGCCAGGCCCGGGGGGCUCCUAGCGGAUCGGUGCGGACCCGCCAGGCACGGCUCGGUUCGGCUCGGCUCGGCGGGGACCCAGGCGAGGAGCGCGAGGAGGAGCAGUUCGGUUCGGCCUAGCGCGGUCCGGUCCGGUUUGGUUCGCACUGUGAUUCAUGACAUCCCAAGGUGUCCCCAAAACCCAGCAAGUCUUUUGUGCAGCCCUGCAGGGAUGUGGCAGCGGAGAUGGAGAAGGUGGGCGCAGUAAAGAAAUGUCACUCCUUGCAGUUUAAUAGCAACAACAACAACAAUGCGGCCAAAAAUCUGAAGUGUGAAGUAAUAGAACUGGGAGACAGCUGGCAAACAGGCAGGCCGUGGCCUCUCUCCAAACAGCAGCUGGCAACCUGGCAUGGUACACCACUGUGUUUGGGCACACACCCUGGGGAAGCACUUGCUGAAAUGCAGGAGGGAGCCCAGUGUGGUGGAGAGGCUGGGGCAGGAGGAGCAUGUCAGCUGCUCAGCAGCCCUGGUGUGGCCUUUAACCUGCUGGGGAGGUUGCAGGGCUUGGUUUCUGUGUGAGCUGGUUGCUCUCAGGUUCUCUUUUCCUCGUCCUUGUUCCCUUCCCUGCUACCAGCUGCGCUCAUUCUUAAAGCACAGGGGACCCUCUGUCUGUGAAUCAUAGGAUCAUAGAAUAUCUUGGGUUGGAAGGUACCCAUAAGGAUCAUCGAGUCUCUGGAGGAGGAAUAACCCAUUUCUUGCAUGCCUUGUGGGCUCGUGCCCUGAAGUCAGAGGAUCCUCUUGUAAUUGCUUGGAAUGAUUAAACGCGUGGGCAGGCUGCAGCCAGUGAGAUGAAAUAGGCAGGAGGACACUGUGGGUUCUGGCACCUUCCUGGGAGGAUGGAGGUAAGAGGUCCCAUCCCUUCUCUGUCUUUGCUGAAUGCUCUUGAGCAUCACUGAGCCAUUCCAUCUCCCUUCCUGGCUGCUGGAGGGAGAAGCACCUGCAAAGGACAAGGUUGCCACCAACGCUGUGCUCCAUUGCAGGUCCUCACCCAUGGAGCUCGGCAGAGAGGGAUGAUUUGCAAAAGGCUCUUUGCAUCCCCCAGCAUGCAGCUCAGCUACCUAGGGCUGAUUUGGGAGAGCUACCCCAAAUCUCCAGGCUCGCCCAUGGAUCGGGGUGGGCUUUAAGGCAGCACCAUCUUUACAGGCUGCCAGGCCAAGCAAAGGUGGAACAAGGGCAGGCAAUCAAACAACUUCAUGAACCAAGAUAAGCAAAGAAAAGAAGUAAGUGUAGGUACUUCUAAACAGGCCGCUUCAGUUUGUCUGGGAGGAAGUGACACCAGCCCAGCCUCUAGCCCUAUAUUUAGUAAAAAACCCAAACCAGACAUUGAUAAUGUUAUUAAAGGCAGGAAGGAGUAAAAGAUGUAGCCUUGCUCAGAUGCUGUGAUCAAGGUGUCUGGGGUCAGGACAGACAUGCUGGCUGUUCCCCUGUACCAGCAGAAGACUGACACAGCAGGUUUGAGAAGCCCUAACCCAGUUCAGCCAGCAGUAAAGGAAAAAGAGGGUGGUUAAUAAAGCAUUGGCUGCUUCUCCCGGUGAUGAGGAGGAGGCAUAGGAACAGAGCUCCACUGCUGCCUUUUGUAGCAUCACCUGCAAGGGAAAUGCUGGCCAACAGCAGACUGGGCAGCACUCCAUUUGUCUGUGCAGAAUAGGAAGGAUUCAGUUAGAGAAGGACGUCAGUGCUUCUGAACAGUAUGACCUUGGGCAAGCAACCUCCCUUACAAACCACAAGUACCCAAACCCUCCCUGUGAGUCCCACUAUAGCGUGGACCCAUUAUGAGAGCCAGCCUCCAUGCUGCCAUCCAGAAUGGGCCAUAAGUGAAAUUGAAGCUCCUCGUGGGAUGACCAGCUCCCCUUUCCCACCACAUCCCUGCAGCAGUUGGUAUCCCCAGCCCAGGUGAGGUGAGCAGAGCUGGAUUUCCAUCCCAUUGCUGUGCAGAGGAGCUGCCAUGCGGUUCCUCCGUGCACCAGUGCAGCUCUGGGUGACUUACCAUCUCAGGGAGAAUAUUUUUUGCAGGCUGAGAUGUUAUUUUAGCUGCUGUUGUCAAAUCCCAUCUAAAAAUCAUCAGACUAAUUAGAAAACAAAAAAUGACAUUUUACGGGCUGUUAGUGCUGUAAGUAGAGGAAGGCCUUCUGGUAUUUAAGGAAUGCUUGGAAAACAACACUGAUAUUUACAUCUGGGAAAGCAGGCUCGGGCAGAAGCUGUAUCUCAGAACAUUUGUGUUUCACGUACACAGCCUUGGCCAUGACAAAUAUUACUGCACAUCAUUACCCUGAUUUUUCAGGGUGUUAAUAUCUCAUCCAUUGCAAAUUGUGGCUGCUGUAGACUUGGCAGCUCGGAUGCGUUUUUAUGGAUUCCCAUUUGUUCUGAUUUCCAUUUUUGUCUUUGAUACUCUGGAAAAGUCAAUUUUAUGUCAGUGAAAGGUACCGCCAUUGAGGAUGGGGGGCUUCUGGCAGCUCAGGGCUCAUGAGGGCCCUGCUCCAGUAGUGCUCACUGCAUUGCAUUGCCCUGCCCUGCAUCCCCACAUAACAGAUUCCAUACCUGUGGCUCUGGAUUCAGUGCAGCAAAGUCUGGGUGUCCUCCUAGGAUAUACAUCCCACCAGCACUGAAAUCUGUGAUGGUUUCCUUUGGGCUCUCUGGGAUGUGAUGUAGUGCUGAUUAAAUGGCAUCUUACACCUGAAGAACUCCAAGUCAACAGAGGGAAUGAUCCACAACAAAUAACUUGUUUAAACUGUGGUGUGUUUUUCUUUUUCCUCCCUCUCAUGUAUGCAUUGUCCAUGAAAAAAAUGAGAAAUUCUCCAAUGUGUGUGCUUGGUGUUACUCACACAUCUCCUAGGUGAAUAACUCUUGGCUUGUAGACACUACUGAUGCAAAGAAAAGAUUUCUCUCUGCCCUUUUGGUUUAUGCAGAGACCUCAGCACUGACAUCAUGACUCUUUGCUUUCAUGUGUGGCUGCUCAUCUGGGGGCCUCAUUUAGGAUGCUAAAGGUGUGUUGUUGGUACCUCAGGCUUAGCCUUCUGUGGGAUGGUGAUGGAGGCAAGGCAGCCCUGGUCUGAAGGGUUUCACAGCAAAAAGCAUUCCUUUGUUGCUGUGCUUCUCCUACACUCCUGGUGACCCUUUGCUUAAGGAGUUUUGCCUUGUCAUGCAUAAGGGACCUCAUCUAUCCCUUAAAAGGCAGAGCUGGUUCAAGCUCAUCAGUGGCUUCGGCCAAACCAAGAGAUGCUGCUCCAGGGCUGUCAUUGAGAUGAAGCUACUUGGCUUUGCCAGAGCCAUCCCUGAAGACAAACCCUAGCAAGAAAGGUUGACAAGGAGCACACGCCUGCCCUGGGGACACGUAGAUGCAGCAUGACUUUCUUUUUAUUUACAGAGCAUCAGAUUGCACGCUCCCCAAGAGCUCUGAUUCAUCCUUCCCCAGUAUUAGAACAAAUACUCUAAAAUCAGUCUACAGCAUGGGGACAGGCUUUAGCCAGUGCUUUGAAAGAGAGCAGGUAAACUUGUUACCCUCACUUUGCAUAGCAAAAAAAUGAUAUGCAUAAAGCUGCACAGAACAGCCCUGCAAAGCUCAAAGGAAACAAAUGGGCAACUUGCACGUUGAAUUUCAAUGGAACUUUGUGCCGCCAGGAUAAUAGCCAGUGAGACAGUGAAAUAUUGCAUAGAGAGACACUGGGCAGUAAAAACAAGUUGCUAAUGCGGUGGAAUAUCCCAUAAUAUUGCUUGGGGGAAUAUCAUAGGGCACAGUGUGGGGGUAUGUGGAGCACCCAGAGGGAUAACAGCCAUUCUGUGAGGUGUGCUUGGGCUUCACCUGAGUCCCAGCCCCAAAAGCCCUUCAUUUCUUCCAGCUGAAACCCCCCUACAGCUGGCUCCCACCUGCAUCACACAUCCCCUCUCCCAUUCCAGGCAAUCAGUCAUCACCCCACCCAGCCUCAGCUGUCCCUAAAGAAUGGCCAAGGAAAAUCAUCCACAGAUGGAGGAGGACUGCACAUAUUUGGAUAACUCACCUGAGGCUGGAGCAGAGCGAAUGAGCAUCCCAUUAAAGGGCUUAAACAGCAUCUUUCCCCCUAACUAAAUUCACUGCAGUAGCUCCAGCAAAGUAGACUUAGGGGAGGAGGAAGGAGAAGGGAGAAAGGCAAUGUGGGGAGAACUGGUGAUGCUCUGAUGUAAUGUGGGGGUGUAGGAUCGCCAUCACGUUCAUAUACAAUUCCCUGAGGCACCCUCAGCUUUUAUAGGCUGCUGAUGGCGGCAGCAGUAAAUGAAAGGACACCUUUGAGUGAGCACUCAUGUAUUAAACAGCUCAUAGGUUGUCCCCAUGCAAAAUAAUCAAUGUCUGUCUUUCAAGGCUCUGCAACUCCACAGCAGACACAGGGUGCUAAAUCCAGAAUGGGAGACCAUGCCAGAAUCUCCAAGCUGCAUUUUCAAGAUGUCUAUAGAAGGCACAGCCCAGGGGGAUGGUCUGAUUGCCUCUGGGAGACAGGCUGUGUUAGGGUCACUUGUGUGUCAGACUGAAGGGAGAAGGGGAAAAGGCAGAGAACUGCUUUAGUGUGUGGGUGAGGCAACAAGGCACGAUGGGUUAAGGCACAGCUGUUGGUACUUAAACUUCUCUGGCUCCAAAAUCUGUAAGCUGGGUGAAGCUUACAAACUAGAAAUCCGGCCGUGAAUCCAGAUAUCCACCUUACCAAAUUGAGGAUUAAUGACAUCAUCUCAGUUCCUCCCUUCUUUGAAGGCUGGAAAGAGCGAGAGGCAAACACGAAUAGUGGGGAGGCGGCUCAGUGAUGAGUCACUCGGUGCUGCUCCUUCCCCCAUAUCCCCACAGCAGGGAGCCCCAUUCUGUUGCCCUGGAUGGCCCUGGGCUGGCUGAGUACAGCCUGUAGAGAGGAACUCAGGACUCAGAGGCUUCAAACUGCAAGAGCAUCCCAUGGAGAGACACAGCCACACACUGACAACCACCAUCCAAGGUCGCGUCACCCCUCCUCUGAGACCCAGCCUCCCAUUAGGAAAGGGCAGAACCUGCUGCCCGUGCUGCUAGCAACACCAACAGACCCCAGGGAAAAAGGGGUUUUCUGCUCAGCAAAUGGGAGCUGGGAGGAUUUCUGCAGCCUCCCUUCCGAAUCUUGAUUUGCCUUGCUGAAUUAAAAGGCAGUGUGGGCUGAAAAUGAUGUUAGAAGGAAAAAGGAGACGGAAAAGAAAAUCACGCUGAGCGUAUUGUUCUGGAUAAAUAAGACAUAGGCGUGUUGCUGAAGGUAGCUCAACCCAUCCCACAAAUGGUUGUCUCCUGCCAGGAGAUGUGACAGAAAUAAUUACUUGGGCUAUACAUAAUUAUUGUGCUGCUUUGAGCGGCAGCCUGCCCUUGGCACAGGUAAAGGAGCUUUUACCUGAUAUUGGUAAAUGACAUCAACCAUUAGCCCCUUAACGUCCUGACCUGCUAAACAGGCAGGGAAGCAGUGGGCAGAGGCCCAAGGAGUGCUUUCAUUGCCAUUCCCAACUGUACCAGUGCUCAGGGGAGUAGUGCCCAAUACAUGGCUGCUCUGGGGCACUGCUGGGUGCCAACAGUGGGUUGUGGCCCUCAGUUACCAGGAUGGAGAGCACAGAGGUGGUGUAUGGAUGAAAAGUGGACAAAAUCACUUAUCAGUUCCAGGUGGAGGAAGCUCCAAGUUCCUCCCACAUCAGUCCAGCUGCUAUAAAGGGGCUUCUUGCACGGGUCACUUGGGGAAUCCUCCUUGGGAUAAAUGAAAUGUUUGUCAUUUAAUUCUCUCAAAGGAGGAAAUGAGUAUUACAACCAGCUGUCGAGUGCUCUGCAGCUAAAAUAUCAACAAACUAUGACAGACGCAAGAUGGAAAAAGCCUCUGAGGUUUCCUUUUAUUGGCUGGGAUGUCUCUGUUUUUUUCUAUCUUAUUAUCUUUCAAGCUAAACCUACAUGAAAUGUACAACCAGGAAACUGAAUAGCACCACUGGCAAAGGCCGUCCUGUCCCCAGAGAGCUGAGAGUGACAAAUACCUGAGAAGACCAAUGGCUUUGGCACAGUGGGAUGGAACCAACCCGAGUGUUUGGUCUCAGCUCACAGAGUCCAUUGAGGCAGAGCUGACAGAGACCAGAAACUCCUGCACCUCCGAGAGGUUUAUCUGGCAGUAAUCUAAUGACUGGGUCACGUGGAGCCGGGUCAUAGAUUUAUAAUGGGGUACUUGAAGAUCACAGGCUAUGGAAAUUAUUGCUGUGCUGGCUGGAAUACAUUAUGCAAAGCAAUGCGUUAUCUGGAAGCCUGCACUGCACGCACACGCGCGCACACUUCGGUGAUCUAUCUAUCGCUCCCCAUGCAGAUGUUCUGCUGCAAAGACGUUCUAAUUAAUAUAUUGAAAAUACAUUUCCUGCCUUGUCUGCACCGGGGAUGAGCAGGGAAACAACAUCAAGUGGGGGAAAAGCCCCCACCGUGGAAGGAGCGAUAAAGAGAAAGGCAGGGACUUAAAAGCAGUUGGAAACAAGUGGGGUGUGAACUGGGGCCCAGCUCAUGCCUUGAGGGUGGUGGGGCUGAUGCUGGUGCUGCUCUCAUGAUGGAACCACAGGGCCAUAGCAGCAGCUGCAGAUCCUCAGUCCUCCUGCUGUCCCCCUGCCAGGAUAGCCCUUCUCUCCCCCCAUCCAUUUAUCAGUUGGACUCCAGGAUCCUUAUGGGUCUCUCACCCGUGACACUCUCCUAUACAGAGCAGUAAGAGACCACAACAUCUGCUCAAUGAGGUGCAGCCCAUGAGCUAUUCCCCUCUGUGAGGCUGUGGGCAUUAAAGCUGGCAUCAUCCAUCCCAUCACAAAGGGACAGCUUACAGUAGCUGCAGAGACCCACAAAAGGAUGGGAUAGGAGAUGAGCAAGGCACAGACCCAACAGUGGGACACAGCCGGGCUCCUCCAUCCCAAUCCAUAGGGACAGUGAGAACCAGAACACCCCAGUGAACAUUAUUAGCCAUGGGGACUUCUAGCUUCAUAUAGGGAAAAGCCCAGAUCAAUCCCCCAGAGAAGAAGAGAUGUGAAAUUAGCCUUGCCAGCUGGGGAGCGCUUUUAAAUUGCAGCAGAAGUGGUUGAGAGAUAGCUCUGCUCUCCGCAGGAACUUCUCCCCAUCCUUGGGAUUUAAGCCUGUUAAUAGUGGAGUAUGAUGAUAUUAUCUGUUUGUAUUGCACUUUUUAUCACAGACGGCUCCCAGGGUGAUUUGCUAUCAUGCCCUCUGAGAGCUGCUGAAACAUAGGAGCUGCAGGAAGCAGCAGUGAUGAAGCCACCAUCUCAGUAGCAGCAGAGCAGGAGAAAUGGAGCAGAAGCCUUUUGCUGGGUGGGAAACACUGCACUCCUCAGCUUCCAGCUGCUUCCCAGAAGCUUUGGUGCUGGCAUCCAUUCUCCAGCUCUCAGCCUGGAACAAGGCUUAAAGUUCAACCCCCCAAGUAACCCCUCCAGAGACCUUGCGUCUACAGAAUGAGUUCAGGCCACCUCAGGGAGCAUCCCAUGGUUUGCCAGGUGGACCAGCACCAGCAGUGACAGCAUCUGCAGGCACCACCUGGACACCGAGCUGGGGAUGCACUGAGCAUCACCUAGUGAUGCACAAGGGCAGGACAAGCAUUUGUGUGCUCUCCUUCCAUCCAGGAUUGACUAUUGUUAGAAGCAUCUCCUUCAUAAGAGCUGAUGCUGUCCCCAGUUUGCUCACCUGGAUCCUGAGCCCGGACCUUCAGGAGCUGUGUGGGAGGAGACAGCUCUGUGCUGUGCAACAAACAUCAGCGGAGCUGCAAAGCGCUUCCACUCCCAGCUCCACCACCCCCUGAUUGACACCCUGUAAUAAAGAGAUUUACCACAUAAUUACUGUGAGUUUGGGAUGCGGCACCAUUCUUAUUUUUUCCUUUCUUUCUCUUUUUUUUUCCUUAUUUUAACCUAAUGACAGCUUUAAACAGCAGUUAAAGUAUGUGUUUAUAUUAAUGUCAUUAGUUAUUUUUGUGUAUUUAACCGAAAAAGCUUUUCUUCAGAGCGAUGGCAUGGUAAACAACAGCUCAGUUGUCUCCUAUAGACAUUGCUACCUCUACUUGUGCAUGAACUGUUUAAGUGAAUGGGAGGGGAGGACCUGAGCCUGGAUUGAUGUGUGUCUGUUGUGGCUCCACCAGCAAAGAUGUUAAGCUGAGCUUAGAAUAAAUGAGAGAUGGAGCCCGGCAUUGA